AUACGGAGGAUGCAAGCGUUAUCCGGAUUUAUUGGGUUUAAAGGGUGCGUAGGCGGUUUGCUAAGCGGGAGGUGAAAUGCCGGCGCUCAACGUCGGAAGUGCCUCCCGAACUGGUGGACUGGAAUGACUCUGCCGUGGGAGGAAUGUGUAGUGUAGCGGUGAAAUGCUUAGAGAUUACACAGAACACCGAUUGCGAAGGCAUCUCACGAAGGGUUGAUUGACGCUGAGGCACGAAAGCGUGGGGAUCAAACAGGAUUAGAUACCCUGGUAGUCCACGCAGUAAACGAUGAUGGCUAACCGUCGGCGAUACACAGUCGGUGGCCAAGCGAAAGCGAUAAGUCAUCCACCUGGGGAGUACGUUCGCAAGGCUGAAACUCAAAGGAAUUGACGGGG
RNAcentral lists this ribosomal RNA (393 nucleotides) under uncultured bacterium. RNAcentral's name for it is "partial 16S ribosomal RNA". It matches the Rfam family "Bacterial small subunit ribosomal RNA", at positions 523 to 918 of the family's 1533-position model. The record is from RNAcentral.